AGCAUGCGAGGCCACGCCCCUCUCCCCUCCUGUAGAGCGCUGCGUCACCGCCAGCUGCUCCUGAAGGCCGCGGGAUGGGUGGACAGAGCGUGCGUGUGGGCGGUGGAGGAGCAGUGCCUGCCGCGGCGAGGGCGCGCAUGCGCAGAAGGGAGAGAUCCCCCACCUCUCCCCCCUUGUCUCAGGCGACCGUUAGCGGCUGAGGAGACGGUGUAGCUGUGAGCUGCUCUCGCUAGCCCUGAUCUCGCUGGGCCCAGGCCCGCCUCUGGGGAGCUGCGUCACAGCGGUGGCUGCUGUGGGGCAAGGUCCCGCCGCUGGCAGACAGUGCAGCCGCUGUGUGCUCCAUAUAACAUGAGGAGCCAGGAGGGACCUCAGCAGCCCUUAGCGGUCUGACCGGGCAGGGCCUGCCUCCUAUUCCAGUGGCACGGAUUUGUGCUGGGAUUUAAGCUUCUGAAUGCGCAGAGAUGUACAUUUUGCCAAGUUCAUCCCUAAGAGCACAAGCAGAGUGUGAGGAGCUUCUGCAGAACAAGCAAGCUCAGAGAAGUGACAGCGCUACAGCCACAGGCCUCUUUCUGUCAGCAGCUGCUGCCUCCCGCUGCAGAAGGCCGGCUGAAGCAAACCUGAGUGCUGCGAGCAGCGAGAGGAAUGGGCACACAGCCUCCCUCUACAAGAGCCCCAUCUGCACCCUGUAGCACCAGGGCUGAAGAGAGGCUCCCCCCCAAAAUGCCGGUGCAUGUGGAAAGGCACUUGGUUAAUGUAGGAUACUGGAGCAGUGUGGAUUAACGUGUCAUUGCAAAGGGGUUUCAGCUGAUAAACCCAGCUGCAAAAGUAUGCAGAACAGGUCAUGCUCCAUUGCCUGGUGUGCUCCAGGGCUGCCACGUGCCUUUCACAGGCUCCUUCUGCCUUGCCAGGCUCAGCUGGCAGAAGAAAUAAUCGUGAGAGUGGAAGAGGGUUGGCACUUCACACGGGACAA
Long non-coding RNA from Numida meleagris (helmeted guineafowl), 970 nucleotides. RefSeq lists it as uncharacterized. The transcript has 2 exons. NCBI's taxonomy places the organism in Eukaryota, Metazoa, Chordata, Aves, Galliformes, Numididae. The record is from RefSeq and is a predicted model, not a curated record.